RNAcentral lists this ribosomal RNA (433 nucleotides) under uncultured bacterium. RNAcentral's name for it is "partial 16S ribosomal RNA". It matches the Rfam family "Bacterial small subunit ribosomal RNA", at positions 29 to 507 of the family's 1533-position model. The record is from RNAcentral.
AACGAACGCUGGCGGCAUGCCUAACACAUGCAAGUCGAACGAGACCUUCGGGUCUAGUGGCGCACGGGUGCGUAACGCGUGGGAAUCUGCCCCUCGGUUGGGAAUAACUGAGAGAAAUUUCAGCUAAUACCUUAUAAUGUCUUCGGACCAAAGAUUUAUCGCCGAGGGAUGAGCCCGCGUAGGAUUAGGUAGUUGGUGGGGUAAUGGCCUACCAAGCCGACGAUCCUUAGCUGGUCUGAGAGGAUGAUCAGCCACACUGGGACUGAGACACGGCCCAGACUCCUACGGGAGGCAGCAGUGGGGAAUAUUGGACAAUGGGCGAAAGCCUGAUCCAGCAAUGCCGCGUGAGUGAUGAAGGCCUUAGGGCUGUAAAGCUCUUUUACCCGGGAUGAUAAUGACAGUACCGGGAGAAUAAGCUCCGGCUAACUCCGUG